GUCUAUGGCUAUACCUCCCUGAACGCUCCCGAUCUCGUCUGAUCUCGGAAGCUAAGCAGGGUCGGGCCUGGUUAGUACUUGGAUGGGAAAGUGUCAUAGCCU
This 102-nucleotide ribosomal RNA is filed under the name Neogale vison (American mink). The record is from RNAcentral. Lineage: Eukaryota; Metazoa; Chordata; Mammalia; Carnivora; Mustelidae.